CGGCUGCGGGUGCUAUACAUGCAGUCGAGCGAAGAGAUGGGAGCUUGCUCCCUGAUCUUAGCGGCGGACGGGUGAGUAACACGUGGGCAACCUGCCCUGCAGACUGGGAUAACUCCGGGAAACCGGAGCUAAUACCGGGUAAUACAUCGCACCGCAUGGUGCAAUGUUGAAAGUUGGCUUUCUGAGCUAACACUGCAGGAUGGGCCCGCGGCGCAUUAGCUAGUUGGUAAGGUAAUGGCUUACCAAGGCGACGAUGCGUAGCCGACCUGAGAGGGUGAUCGGCCACACUGGGACUGAGACACGGCCCAGACUCCUACGGGAGGCAGCAGUAGGGAAUCUUCCGCAAUGGACGAAAGUCUGACGGAGCAACGCCGCGUGAGUGACGAAGGCCUUCGGGUCGUAAAGCUCUGUUGUUAGGGAAGAACAAGUACCGUUCGAAUAGGGCGGUACCUUGACGGUACCUAACCAGAAAGCCACGGCUAACUACGUGCCAGCAGCCGCGGUAAUACGUAGGUGGCAAGCGUUGUCCGGAAUUAUUGGGCGUAAAGCGCGCGCAGGCGGUCUUUUAAGUCUGAUGUGAAAGCCCACGGCUCAACCGUGGAGGGUCAUUGGAAACUGGAGGACUUGAGUGCAGAAGAGGAGAGUGGAAUUCCACGUGUAGCGGUGAAAUGCGUAGAUAUGUGGAGGAACACCAGUGGCGAAGGCGGCUCUCUGGUCUGUAACUGACGCUGAGGCGCGAAAGCGUGGGGAGCAAACAGGAUUAGAUACCCUGGUAGUCCACGCCGUAAACGAUGAGUGCUAGGUGUUGGGGGGUUCCACCCUCAGUGCUGAAGUUAACACAUUAAGCACUCCGCCUGGGGAGUACGACCGCAAGGUUGAAACUCAAAGGAAUUGACGGGGGCCCGCACAAGCAGUGGAGCAUGUGGUUUAAUUCGAAGCAACGCGAAGAACCUUACCAGGUCUUGACAUCUCUGACAUCCUGAGACAGGACGUUCCCUUCGGGGACAGAGUGACAGGUGUGCAUGAUGUCGUCAGCUCGUGUCGUGAGAUGUUGGGUUAAGUCCCGCAACGAGCGCAACCC
Molecule: ribosomal RNA, 1081 nt
Filed under: Bacillus sp. A-17
Lineage: Bacteria; Bacillati; Bacillota; Bacilli; Caryophanales; Bacillaceae
Description: bacterial SSU rRNA
Rfam family: Bacterial small subunit ribosomal RNA
Source: RNAcentral